Molecule: transfer RNA, 72 nt
Filed under: Ovis aries (sheep)
Lineage: Eukaryota; Metazoa; Chordata; Mammalia; Artiodactyla; Bovidae
Rfam family: tRNA
About the family: Transfer RNA (tRNA) molecules are approximately 80 nucleotides in length.
Source: Rfam by way of RNAcentral
UCCCUGGUGGCUCAGAUGGUAAAGCAUCUGCCUGCAAUGCGGGAGACCUGGGUCCGAUUCCUGGGUUGGGAA